AUACGGAGGGUGCAAGCGUUACUCGGAAUCACUGGGCGUAAAGCGCGCGCAGGCGGCUUGAUAAGUUGGAUGUGAAAGCCUACGGCUCAACCGUAGAACUGCAUCCAAAACUGUCAAGCUAGAGUCUGGGAGGGGAAGAUGGAAUUAGUUGUGUAGGGGUAAAAUCCGUAGAGAUAACUAGGAAUACCAAAAGCGAAGGCGAUCUUCUGGAACAGUACUGACGCUGAGGCGCGAAAGCGUGGGGAGCAAACGGGAUUAGAAACCCUAGUAGUCC
Molecule: ribosomal RNA, 274 nt
Filed under: uncultured bacterium
Lineage: Bacteria
Description: partial 16S ribosomal RNA
Rfam family: Bacterial small subunit ribosomal RNA
Source: RNAcentral